Molecule: small RNA, 579 nt
Filed under: Pan troglodytes (chimpanzee)
Lineage: Eukaryota; Metazoa; Chordata; Mammalia; Primates; Hominidae
Description: processed transcript
Source: RNAcentral
GGCCCCGUGGAAACCCAGGCCCUCGUCCCUCGUGUCUCGCCAGGCUUCGUGAGCUUCGACAACCCGGCCAGCGCGCAGACCGCCAUCCAGGCCAUGAACGGCUUCCAGAUCGGCAUGAAGAGGCUCAAGGUGCAGCUGAAGCGGCCCAAAGACGCCAAUCGCCCGUACUGAGCGCCGGCGGGAGCGUCCCCCGGGGGAGACCAGGACUCGCACAGGGCAGGAUGCUGAACGGGCUACAUUAAAAAACAAACCUCUCUCUCUAUAUAUUUAUAAAUGAGAACUGUUGGAUGACACCUUUGACAUAUCAGCCAAUAUCAAUCAAGCUGAAGACUCCAGACACUGUCUGUGUGACUGUAACAUUUCUUCAAGGAAAGUAUAGCGUCUAUGGAGUUCAGAGGGCACGUGUUUGGGGGAAAAUAUAUAUGACAUGAAGAAGAAGAUGAAGAAAAAUGAGAAAAAAACACACAAAAGGCAACUUUAAAACAAAAUAUCACGAGCAGACGGGGAGGCUGAAGGGCUGGGAGCUGGGAGGAGACGCUGCUUACCGAUCCCGGGGCUUUUCCAGCCCAUGGGCGCCUG